GCAGUAGUAGCUCAAAGGCAGAGCGCCGGAUUGUGGCUUCGGAGACGAGAGUUCAAUUCUCUCUUAUUGCC
Molecule: transfer RNA, 71 nt
Filed under: Candidatus Pacearchaeota archaeon
Lineage: Archaea; Nanobdellati
Description: tRNA-His
Rfam family: tRNA
About the family: Transfer RNA (tRNA) molecules are approximately 80 nucleotides in length. Their secondary structure includes four short double-helical elements and three loops (D, anti-codon, and T loops).
Source: RNAcentral